GGUAGGAAGGGUUAGUGACAGAGCACAUGCUUAGCAUGCAUGAGGUCCUGGGUUCAGUCCCCAGUACUUCCA
This 72-nucleotide transfer RNA is filed under the name Camelus bactrianus (Bactrian camel). It matches the Rfam family "tRNA". Rfam says of the family: Transfer RNA (tRNA) molecules are approximately 80 nucleotides in length. Their secondary structure includes four short double-helical elements and three loops (D, anti-codon, and T loops). Lineage: Eukaryota; Metazoa; Chordata; Mammalia; Artiodactyla; Camelidae. RNAcentral also lists the same sequence under 2 other names. The record is from Rfam by way of RNAcentral.